CUUCCACAGGCAAAGCUUCCGAUGUGAAUUUCCUCUUCUCCUUUGCUUUAAGUAAAGACAACUAUCUUGCAGCAACCAGGACCGGUUCUUGAAUAGAUCACCCCAAGUGGUGAACCUACUCCGUCCAGUAACAGGGCCAUCUCUGCUCCUGCCUCGGUUUCCCUGCCUCUACCAUUUAGAACACCUGAACAUCCAGGCUGUGUGUCUUCUGUUUGCCCUCUUGGGAAGUUUCCACUGCCAGAGGACAAAGCCUGGCUAACCUGCUGGAGGAUGAGAGACUGCACCAACUACUCCUACCGCUCCCGGCUGAGAGCGGGUCAACUCCCAGAAGGAGCCCACCCACCACCCAGCUGACUGCAGAUGCUUGGGUGAGCUCAUCCAAGGCCGAGAACCAUCCAGCUGACCUGUAGACUUAAAAAGAAAGAAAAAAAGAGAGAUACUGCUGCUGCAGAUACUGUGUGACAGCCCCACAGCGUUGGUGCCAAGGCCAUGCCUCCCUUGGACUGCUCCAAAUGACAAAACACG
Molecule: long non-coding RNA, 525 nt
Organism: Molossus molossus (Pallas's mastiff bat)
Lineage: Eukaryota; Metazoa; Chordata; Mammalia; Chiroptera; Molossidae
Exons: 3
Source: RefSeq, a predicted model, not a curated record